GAGGAAAGUCCGGGCUCCAUAGGGCAGGGUGCCAGGUAACGCCUGGGGGGGAAACCCACGACCAGUGCAACAGAGAGCAAACCGCCGAUGGCCCGCGCAAGCGGGAUCAGGUAAGGGUGAAAGGGUGCGGUAAGAGCGCACCGCGCGGCUGGUAACAGUCCGUGGCAUGGUAAACUCCACCCGGAGCAAGGCCAAAUAGGGGUUCAUAAGGUACGGCCCGUACUGAACCCGGGUAGGCUGCUUGAGCCAGUGAGCGAUUGCUGGCCUAGAUGAAUGACUGUCCACGACAGAACCC
This 295-nucleotide RNase P RNA is filed under the name Escherichia coli O55:H7 str. CB9615. RNAcentral describes it as "rnpB". It matches the Rfam family "Bacterial RNase P class A", at positions 43 to 345 of the family's 367-position model. From Rfam's summary of the family: Ribonuclease P (RNase P) is a ubiquitous endoribonuclease, found in archaea, bacteria and eukarya as well as chloroplasts and mitochondria. Its best characterised activity is the generation of mature 5'-ends of tRNAs by cleaving the 5'-leader elements of precursor-tRNAs. Lineage: Bacteria; Pseudomonadati; Pseudomonadota; Gammaproteobacteria; Enterobacterales; Enterobacteriaceae. The record is from RNAcentral.